CGGGAAACUGCGGUAAUACUCCAUGGUGUUGUUGAGUGGCAUCACUUAACAACUAAAGUACAAGCCGCCCUUGGAUCGGUGUGCGUUCGAUUAGCUAGUUGGCGGGGUAACCGGCCCACCAAGGCUUCGAUCGAGUAGGGGGUGUGAGAGCAUGACCCCCCCACACGGGUACUGAGACACGGACCCGACUCCUACGGGAGGCAGCAGUAAGGAAUAUUGGACAAUGGGCGGAAGCCUGAUCCAGCCAUGCCGCGUGAAGGACGAAGGCGCUCAGCGUUGUAAACUUCUUUUGGAUGGGAACAAUAACUCCGACUUGUCGGAACUUGAGGGUACCAUCAGAAUAAGCACCGGCUAACUCCGUG
Molecule: ribosomal RNA, 362 nt
Filed under: uncultured bacterium
Lineage: Bacteria
Description: bacterial SSU rRNA
Rfam family: Bacterial small subunit ribosomal RNA
Source: RNAcentral